This 256-nucleotide ribosomal RNA is filed under the name uncultured bacterium. RNAcentral describes it as "partial 16S ribosomal RNA". It matches the Rfam family "Bacterial small subunit ribosomal RNA", at positions 524 to 776 of the family's 1533-position model. The record is from RNAcentral.
UACGUAGGGUCCGAGCGUUGUCCGGAAUUAUUGGGCGUAAAGCGCACGUAGGCGGUUCGUUAAGUCGGAUGUGAAAGCCCUCGGCUCAACUGAGGAAGUGCACCCGAAACUGGCGAGCUUGAGUACGAAAAGAGGAUCGCGGAAUUCCCGGUGUAGAGGUGAAAUUCGUAGAUAUCGGGGAGGAACACCGGGUGGCGAAGGCGGCGAUCUGGGUCGAUACUGACGCUGAGGUGCGAAAGCGUGGGGAGCAAACAGG